RNAcentral lists this ribosomal RNA (1184 nucleotides) under Escherichia coli. Its description in RNAcentral is "bacterial LSU rRNA". It matches the Rfam family "Bacterial large subunit ribosomal RNA", at positions 1 to 1215 of the family's 2925-position model. Lineage: Bacteria; Pseudomonadati; Pseudomonadota; Gammaproteobacteria; Enterobacterales; Enterobacteriaceae. The record is from RNAcentral.
GGGUUGUGAGGUUAAGCGACUAAGCGUACACGGUGGAUGCCCUGGCAGUCAGAGGCGAUGAAGGACGUGCUAAUCUGCGAUAAGCGUCGGUAAGGUGAUAUGAACCGUUAUAACCGGCGAUUUCCGAAUGGGGAAACCCAGUGUGAUUCGUCACACUAUCAUUAACUGAAUCCAUAGGUUAAUGAGGCGAACCGGGGGAACUGAAACAUCUAAGUACCCCGAGGAAAAGAAAUCAACCGAGAUUCCCCCAGUAGCGGCGAGCGAACGGGGAGCAGCCCAGAGCCUGAAUCAGUGUGUGUGUUAGUGGAAGCGUCUGGAAAGGCGCGCGAUACAGGGUGACAGCCCCGUACACAAAAAUGCACAUACUGUGAGCUCGAUGAGUAGGGCGGGACACGUGGUAUCCUGUCUGAAUAUGGGGGGACCAUCCUCCAAGGCUAAAUACUCCUGACUGACCGAUAGUGAACCAGUACCGUGAGGGAAAGGCGAAAAGAACCCCGGCGAGGGGAGUGAAAAAGAACCUGAAACCGUGUACGUACAAGCAGUGGGAGCACAGAGCAAUCUGUGUGACUGCGUACCUUUUGUAUAAUGGGUCAGCGACUUAUAUUCUGUAGCAAGGUUAACCGAAUAGGGGAGCCGAAGGGAAACCGAGUCUUAACUGGGCGUUAAGUUGCAGGGUAUAGACCCGAAACCCGGUGAUCUAGCCAUGGGCAGGUUGAAGGUUGGGUAACACUAACUGGAGGACCGAACCGACUAAUGUUGAAAAAUUAGCGGAUGACUUGUGGCUGGGGGUGAAAGGCCAAUCAAACCGGGAGAUAGCUGGUUCUCCCCGAAAGCUAUUUAGGUAGCGCCUCGUGAAUUCAUCUCCGGGGGUAGAGCACUGUUUCGGCAAGGGGGUCAUCCCGACUUACCAACCCGAUGCAAACUGCGAAUACCGGAGAAUGUUAUCACGGGAGACACACGGCGGGUGCUAACGUCCGUCGUGAAGAGGGAAACAACCCAGACCGCCAGCUAAGGUCCCAAAGUCAUGGUUAAGUGGGAAACGAUGUGGGAAGGCCCAGACAGCCAGGAUGUUGGCUUAGAAGCAGCCAUCAUUUAAAGAAAGCGUAAUAGCUCACUGGUCGAGUCGGCCUGCGCGGAAGAUGUAACGGGGCUAAACCAUGCACCGAAGCUGCGGCAGCGACGCU